AAGGGCACCACAAGAACGCGUGGAGCAUGUGGCUUAAUUUGACUCAACGCGGGAAAACUUACCGGGUCCGGACACACUGAGGAUUGACAGGCGACCAUUUUGUAAAUAUGCCAGUCCUUUCAUGAUUGUGUGAUAGGUGGUGCAUGGCCGUUCUUAGUUCGUGGAGUGAUCUGUCUGCUUAAUUGCGUUUCAGAUAAAUGGAGUCUUGAGUAGGUUAGUGUGCCUCGGUAAAACGAGGUAUCUCUGGCUGAGCUCUGCUCCUUGAAAGCAACGAACGUGACCGCAGCCCUUUGUUGGUCGUCCACCGCUUCGGCGUUGUGUCUUGACGUCUUAACUAAGGGGACCGCCAGGCUUUUUAAAACCGGAGGAAGGUUGCGGCAAUAACAGGUCUGUGAUGCCCUUAGAUGUUCCGGGCUGCACACGUGCUACAAUGAUUGUUACAGAAAGUAUCUACUACUGAUUGUUCUCGAAGGCUUUUGAGUCGGAAAGGACCACGGAUAGCAUUAAGUCGGAUAUCCUUUUCUAGGACUGUCUGGCUUUUUAUAGCUACUGUGAAACCUACCUCGAAAGUUCGGUAGGCAAUCAAUUCCAAGUGACAAUCUCCCCUGCACAAAUCAAAUGUUACUUUGCGUGGUAUUUAUACCUCACUCAGUUGACAUGUGCUCUAUAAAUUCGUGGUCGGGACAGACCAUUGCUAAUUGUUGGUCUCGGUCUCAACUAGGAAUGCCUUGUACGGGUCUUUGGUUCAACAAACCACCCGGAAUACGUCCCUGCCCUUUGUACACACCGCCCGUCGCUCUUACCGAUGGACUUCUCUGUGAGUUUGAGGGACUGGCGUCCACGCCUCGUGCGUGCGAUGCUAUGGAAACUCAAACGAACAGUGUGGUCUAAAGGAAAGAGAAGUCGUAACAAGGCAUCGGUAGGUGAACCUGCAGAAGGAUCA
RNAcentral lists this ribosomal RNA (943 nucleotides) under Monothalamids sp. Its description in RNAcentral is "SSU rRNA". It matches the Rfam family "Eukaryotic small subunit ribosomal RNA", at positions 1160 to 1828 of the family's 1831-position model. Lineage: Eukaryota; Foraminifera. The record is from RNAcentral.